GCCCCACCUACGAUAGUAGAGGGGCAUUAUGUUUUCUGGUCUGUGCGUCCGUUCGUCCGUUCGUUCGUCCGUUCGUUCGUCCGUCUGUCCCGCUUCAGGUUAAAGUUUUUGGUCGAGGAGUUUUUGAUGAAGUUGAAGUCCAAUCGACUUCAAACUUGGUACACAUGUUCCCUAUGAUAUGAUCUUUCUAAUUUUAAUGCCAAAUUAGAGAUUUUACCCCAAUUUUACGGUUCACUGA
RNAcentral lists this long non-coding RNA (238 nucleotides) under Mytilus galloprovincialis (Mediterranean mussel). The record is from RNAcentral. Lineage: Eukaryota; Metazoa; Mollusca; Bivalvia; Mytilida; Mytilidae.